RNAcentral lists this unclassified non-coding RNA (279 nucleotides) under plant metagenome. RNAcentral describes it as "partial contains small subunit ribosomal RNA, internal transcribed spacer 1, and 5.8S ribosomal RNA". The stretch from base 1 to 54 matches the Rfam family "Eukaryotic small subunit ribosomal RNA", at positions 1778 to 1831 of the family's 1831-position model. The record is from RNAcentral.
GGAAGUAAAAGCCGUAACAAGGUCUCCGUUGGUGAACCAGCGGAGGGAUCAUUACCGAGUUUACCAACUCCCAAACCCCGUGUGAACGUACCCACCCCCGUUGCUUCGGCGGUGCCGCCCCGGGCGCGGGCCUCCCAGAGGCCGCCAGCCCCGGACCCAGGCGCCCGCCGGAGGACCCCAAACUCCACUGUAUCGCCACGGCGGCUUUCUUCUGAGUCACGCUCUCCGAGCGGCAAACAAAAUGAAUCAAAACUUUCAACAACGGAUCUCUUGGCUCUG